CUGGUUGAUCCUGCCAGUAGUCAUAUGCUUGUCUUAAAGAUUAAGCCAUGCAUGUCUAAGUAUAAACACUUGUACUGUGAAACUGCGAAUGGCUCAUUAUAUCAGUUAUAAUUUAUUUGAUGGUCAUUUACUUGGAUAACCGUGGUAAAUCUAGAGCUAAUACAUGCAUAAAAUCCUGACUGGGAACGGAAAGGAUGUAUUUAUUAGAUAUAAAAACCAAUGCACUAAGUUCUCACGAGCUUGGUGGAAAACAUGGUGAUUUAUGAUAACUUUACGAAUCGUAUGGUCUUGUACCGACGAUAGUUCAUUCAAAUUUCUGCCCUAUCAACUUUCGAUGGUAGUAUAGAGGACUACCAUGGUGGUAACGGGUAACGGAGAAUCAGGGUUUGAUUCCGGAGAAGGAGCCUGAGAAACGGUUACUACUUCCAAGGAAGGCAGCAGGCGCGCAAAUUACCCAAUCCCGACACGGGGUGGUAGUGACAAAAAAUAACAAUACCGGUCUUAUAUAAGUCUGGUAAUUGGAAUGAGUACAAUCUAAACCCCUUAACGAGUAUCAAUUGGAGGGCAAGUCUGGUGCCAGCAGCCGCGGUAAUUCCAGCUCCAAUAGCAUAUAUUAAAGUUGUUGCAGUUAAAAAGCUCGUAGUUGGAUUUUAGAGUUUAUUCAGUAGAGUCCGCUUGAAAAGAGUGUGUAUUUUAUUGGUAACUCUCCCUACUAGAUAUUCACGAUCAUUCUUAACUGAGUGGUUGGUCUAUUCGAAAGAGUAGGUGCUUGGUGGGUCUGGGGGUUAAGAUGUGGUUUUUUUACGGGGCAACCUGUAGAGAAAUCUGCUUAAUUCACUUCCAUUAAGUAGAAUUCUAGUUCAUUUACUUUGAGUAAAUUGGAGUGUUCAAAGCAAACGUAUAAUUUUGUAAUGAAUACUAUUAGCAUGGGAUAAUGGAACAGGACGUUGGUUCUAUUUUAUUGGUUUCUAGAACUAAUGUAAUGAUUAAAAGGGAUAGUUGGGGGCAUUAGUAUUUAAUUGUCAGAGGUGAAAUUCUUGGAUUUAUGAAAGACUAACUUCUGCGAAAGCAUUUGUCAAGGAUGUUUUCAUUAAUCAAGAACGAAAGUUAGGGGAUCGAAGACGAUCAGAUACCGUCGUAGUCUUAACCAUAAACUAUGCCGACCAGGGAUUGGAAGACGUUAAUUUAAAAAAUAGGACUCCUCCAGCACCUUACGAGAAAUCACAA
RNAcentral lists this ribosomal RNA (1227 nucleotides) under metagenome. Its description in RNAcentral is "SSU rRNA". It matches the Rfam family "Eukaryotic small subunit ribosomal RNA", at positions 4 to 1102 of the family's 1831-position model. The record is from RNAcentral.